RNAcentral lists this transfer RNA (87 nucleotides) under Novimethylophilus kurashikiensis. RNAcentral describes it as "tRNA-Ser". It matches the Rfam family "tRNA". Rfam says of the family: Transfer RNA (tRNA) molecules are approximately 80 nucleotides in length. Their secondary structure includes four short double-helical elements and three loops (D, anti-codon, and T loops). Lineage: Bacteria; Pseudomonadati; Pseudomonadota; Betaproteobacteria; Nitrosomonadales; Methylophilaceae. The record is from RNAcentral.
GGAGAGUUGGCGAAAUUGGUAGCCGCACGGGUUUGCUAAACCCGCAGCUGAAAGGCUGUGUGAGUUCAAGUCUCACACUCUCCGCCA